This 58-nucleotide transfer RNA is filed under the name Loxodonta africana (African savanna elephant). It matches the Rfam family "tRNA", at positions 8 to 63 of the family's 71-position model. From Rfam's summary of the family: Transfer RNA (tRNA) molecules are approximately 80 nucleotides in length. Their secondary structure includes four short double-helical elements and three loops (D, anti-codon, and T loops). Further hydrogen bonds mediate the characteristic L-shaped molecular structure. tRNAs have two regions of fundamental functional importance: the anti-codon, which is responsible for specific mRNA codon recognition, and the 3' end, to which the tRNAs corresponding amino acid is attached (by aminoacyl-tRNA synthetases). tRNAs cope with the degeneracy of the genetic code in two manners: having more than one tRNA (with a specific anti-codon) for a particular amino acid; and 'wobble' base-pairing, i.e. permitting non-standard base-pairing at the 3rd anti-codon position. Lineage: Eukaryota; Metazoa; Chordata; Mammalia; Proboscidea; Elephantidae. The record is from Rfam by way of RNAcentral.
UGGCUCAGUGGUUAAAGAGUUUGGCUGCUAACUGAAAGAUUGGUGGUUCGAACCCACC